CAUUCGAGUGGCGGACGGGUGAGUAACGCGUGGGUAACCUGCCUUACACAGGGGGAUAACACCUGGAAACAGGUGCUAAUACCGCAUAAGCGCACAGGGCCGCAUGGCCCGGUGUGAAAAACUCCGGCGGUGUAAGAUGGACCCGCGUCUGAUUAGCUUGUUGGCGGGGUAGGGGCCCACCAAGGCGACGAUCAGUAGCCGGCCUGAGAGGGUGGACGGCCACAUUGGGACUGAGACACGGCCCAAACUCCUACGGGAGGCAGCAG
Molecule: ribosomal RNA, 266 nt
Filed under: uncultured bacterium
Lineage: Bacteria
Description: partial 16S ribosomal RNA
Rfam family: Bacterial small subunit ribosomal RNA
Source: RNAcentral